Molecule: ribosomal RNA, 492 nt
Filed under: uncultured bacterium
Lineage: Bacteria
Description: partial 16S ribosomal RNA
Rfam family: Bacterial small subunit ribosomal RNA
Source: RNAcentral
AGUGAACGCUGGCGGUAGGCCUAACACAUGCAAGUCGAACGGCAGCACAGUAAGAGCUUGCUCUUACGGGUGGCGAGUGGCGGACGGGUGAGGAAUACAUCGGAAUCUACUUUCUCGAGGGGGAUAAUGUAGGGAAACUUACGCUAAUACAUCAUACGACCUACGGGUGAAAGCAGGGGAUCUUCGGACCUUGCGCGAAUGCAUGAGCCGAUGUCGGAUUCCCUAGUUGGCGGGGUAAAGGCCCACCAAGGCGACGAUCCGUAGCUGGUCUGAGAGGAUGAUCAGCCACACUGGAACUGAGACACGGUCCAGACUCCUACGGGAGGCGGCAGUGGGGAAUAUUGGACAAUGGGCGCAAGCCUGAUCCAGCCAUACCGCGUGGGUGAAGAAGGCCUUCGGGUUGUAAAGCCCUUUUGUUGGGAAAGAAAAGCAGCAGGUUAAUACCCCGCUGUUCUGACGGUACCCAAAGAAUAAGCACCGGCUAACUUCGUG